ACGGUGCAGCCAUCGGCAGCGGCAUCACCUGCGGCGGCAGCGGUCCGACCACGAGAACGCUCGUCCGACACCGACGCGAGAUCGUUUGGGUUUUGCGGUCGGGUGGUAUUUUCGCGUAAGGAUCGUAUGGUGUUUGGCUUUAGGGCUGGCUGCGAUCAUGUGGCACUCGGGUGGCAUGGGCAGCCACGGCGGUGGCUGGAUGAAGCUGAUGGGCAUGGUGCACAGGGACCGGAGAUCGGCGCAACGACAUGUACAGGACGCCGCUACAGCAUUAUUGGCUCCCAUCGACAGGUCACUGCCGAAACUCAGUACCCAAGACGAAGACGGCUGUGGUCCAGGGGCAAGUCUUGGAACAGGCCUCACACACGGUCAUCCUCAACACUGUUCGGGGAGCGCGACAUUCGAACCAAUUCCGCACGAUCACGACUUCUGCGAAAGAGUAACAAUCAACGUGAGCGGUAUGAGGUUCGAGACGCAACUGCGGACAUUGAACCAGUUCCCGGACACGCUGCUGGGCGACCCGUGUCGGCGGAUGCGGUACUUCGACCCGUUGCGCAACGAGUACUUCUUCGACAGGAACCGACCAACGUUCGACGCCAUUCUCUACUAUUACCAGAGCGGUGGCCGACUGAGGAGGCCGACUACGGUGCCGUUGGACGUGUUCUCCGAAGAGAUCAAGUUCUACGAACUCGGCGAACUGGCUACCAAUAAAUUUAGGGAAGAAGAGGGUUUUAUAAAAGAAGAAGAGAAACCACUGCCAAAACCCGAGUUCCAACGGAAAGUGUGGCUACUGUUCGAGUACCCGGAGAGCUCCCAAGCCGCUCGGGUGGUGGCCAUCAUAUCCGUGUUCGUCAUAUUGCUGUCCAUAGUGAUAUUCUGUCUGGAAACUUUGCCAGAGUUUAAACACUACAAAGUGUUCAACACGACGACCAACGGUACGAAGAUUGAGGAGGACGAGGUGCCUGACAUCACCGAUCCGUUCUUUUUGAUUGAGACCAUAUGUAUCGUGUGGUUCACGUUCGAGCUGUCCGUCCGCUUUCUCGCCUGCCCUAAUAAAUUGCACUUCUUCAAAGACGUGAUGAAUACGAUUGACAUAAUCGCUAUAAUACCGUACUUCAUCACGUUGGCCACAGUGAUUGCUGAGGAGGAGGACCCCACGAUGAACCUGCCCAAAGCGCCGCAGAAUCCGCAAGACAAGAGCACCAACCAGGCCAUGUCGUUGGCCAUACUCAGGGUCAUCCGGCUCGUGAGGGUUUUCAGGAUAUUCAAACUGUCCCGACAUUCCAAGGGAUUGCAAAUUCUUGGGCGCACCCUAAAAGCCUCUAUGCGAGAACUGGGACUGCUCAUAUUUUUCUUGUUUAUCGGUGUGGUGCUAUUCUCGAGCGCGGUGUACUUCGCCGAAGCCGGCUCAGAGAAUUCCUUCUUCAAGUCCAUCCCGGACGCAUUCUGGUGGGCUGUUGUUACCAUGACGACUGUGGGCUAUGGUGACAUGACGUAUGAUACCAGUGGGCGUGUGGGGGAAAAUUGUCGGUUCACUGUGCGCGAUUGCCGGCGUGCUCACAAUCGCACUGCCCGUGCCCGUCAUCGUGUCCAACUUCAACUAUUUCUAUCACAGAGAGACUGACCAAGAAGACAUGCAAUCGCAGAACUUCAACCACGUCACCAGCUGCCCUUAUCUUCCCGGUACUUUAGGUCAACACAUGGUGAAAUAUCCGUCGGGUGGUGACUCGACGUCGGACCUGAUGGAUUUGGAGUCAGCGGAUAAUUGUCUGCUGGACGCGGAGCUGGACGAACCGCCUCUGUCGUUGCCGCCGCCGCAGCAACCAAAAA
This 1830-nucleotide unclassified non-coding RNA is filed under the name Rhopalosiphum maidis (corn leaf aphid). Its description in RNAcentral is "potassium voltage-gated channel protein Shaker, transcript variant X3". The stretch from base 1475 to 1595 matches the Rfam family "Potassium channel RNA editing signal". The record is from RNAcentral. Lineage: Eukaryota; Metazoa; Arthropoda; Insecta; Hemiptera; Aphididae.